AGUCGACGAUGAAUCUUCUAGCUUGCUAGAAGUGGAUUAGUGGCGCACGGGUGAGUAAUGCAUAGGUUAUGUGCCCUUUAGUCUGGGAUAGCCACUGGAAACGGUGAUUAAUACUGGAUACUCCCUACGGGGGAAAGUUUUUCGCUAAAGGAUCAGCCUAUGUCCUAUCAGCUUGUUGGUGAGGUAAUGGCUCACCAAGGCUAUGACGGGUAUCCGGCCUGAGAGGGUGAUCGGACACACUGGAACUGAGACACGGUCCAGACUCCUACGGGAGGCAGCAGUAGGGAAUAUUGCUCAAUGGGGGAAACCCUGAAGCGGCAACGCCGCGUGGAGGAUGAAGGUUUUAGGAUUGUAAACUCCUUUUGUUAGAGAAGAUUAUGACGGUAUCUAACGAAUAAGCACCGGCUAACUCCGUGCCAGCAGCCGCGGUAAUACGGAGGGUGCAAGCGUUACUCGGAAUCACUGGGCGUAAAGAGUGCGUAGGCGGGGUAAUAAGUCAGAUGUGAAAUCCUGUAGCUUAACUACAGAACUGCAUUUGAAACUGUUACUCUGGAGUGUGGGAGAGGUAGGUGGAAUUCUUGGUGUAGGGGUAAAAUCCGUAGAGAUCAAGAGGAAUACUCAUUGCGAAGGCGACCUGCUGGAACAUUACUGACGCUGAUGCACGAAAGCGUGGGGAGCAAACAGGAUUAGAUACCCUGGUAGUCCACGCCCUAAACGAUGGAUGCUAGUUGUUGCCUUGCUUGUCAGGGCAGUAAUGCAGCUAACGCAUUAAGCAUCCCGCCUGGGGAGUACGGUCGCAAGAUUAAAACUCAAAGGAAUAGACGGGGACCCGCACAAGCGGUGGAGCAUGUGGUUUAAUUCGAAGAUACGCGAAGAACCUUACCUAGGCUUGAC
RNAcentral lists this ribosomal RNA (894 nucleotides) under uncultured bacterium. RNAcentral's name for it is "bacterial SSU rRNA". It matches the Rfam family "Bacterial small subunit ribosomal RNA", at positions 60 to 985 of the family's 1533-position model. The record is from RNAcentral.